Delphinapterus leucas (beluga whale) is the source of this 2469-nucleotide non-coding RNA. Lineage: Eukaryota; Metazoa; Chordata; Mammalia; Artiodactyla; Monodontidae. The record is from RefSeq and is a predicted model, not a curated record.
UAGUCUGUGAUUAGAGCUGAAAAGAGUCACGAGUCUUAACUUGUAUUUAGCACUCCAAGGAUAAAGUGUCCUGUGUGGUACUAAAUUUCUCCCUGUUGCUCUGGCGGUCUCCAGAAGGAACGGGGAGGCUUAUCGAGGAAGUAUGCCAUAUCCCAUCUAUCACUUGGUUUCAGGCGUCAUGAUCAAUUGACUGUACCAUAAACAACAUGUUGCAUAUGUGGCAAAUGAUAACAUCAUUUAACUCGACACAGGGUUAUGCAUUUUUGGAAGGAAUACUAUACAAGUGAUAUUGUAUCCAUCUUAAUGCAUCACAUCAGGAGACAGUGCCUGAAUCUUCCCUGACUUCAUGAAGGAAUAAGGGAUGACUGAGAUGAACGCUGACAGAGUAGCCAGGACAAGGCCAAGAUGAAAGAGGCUGAUUGUAUUCAUGACUGACUGCAAGUUGGAGAUGCAGGCUCUUAUCAAGUCUGGAAGACCACCCACUGAGGAUGAAUAUAAUCAGAAGACCCUAGGACUUGGCUGGCAACCAGAUGGAAGGAGCUUAGGUUCCUGAAUGGAGAAAAACAACCUGUCAAUCUGCAUCACUCUCAUUGGACCAAUUGAAAACUGGAUUUACUCAACUGCCGUGACAUCACCUUUCAUCAAGCAACGAUGGCGAAACUUCGCAUUUUGAAUUCAUUAUGUCAACAGCAUGGCAAGAAUGGAAGCACAUUUCCUCUCUGCACUGCUUAUGGCAUCUGUGCAAAGAGGAAUUGUGGACUGAGCAACCAAAGUGGUGGAGGGAUCCAGCAGGAAUGAGAAGAUGAAUGACUGUCUUUCUGAAACGGAGACACUAAGAAGAGUAUAUGCCGUCUGUCUGUGAUGCCGUCACACCUAUGAGUUCUAACUGGAGGACAGGGGCAACUAAAUGAGAGGAGGCAUCAGGAAUCCCAUGUGGCAAAUUCACGUCAUCUUCAUGUCAGUCAGAUGCAAGUGAAGACUAAGCAGGUCUAGGCCACAGACAAGGAGCCUCUGAAAGUCAAGACCACAUCAUCUUGAUGUUUUGACAUUUUGUCCAUGGCCUCAGCAGGCAGUGAUUUUAAAGAGCUCUCUACUGCCGUCUCAUGGUGAAAGAAUGAAUGGCUGGGAGUUAGGAGGCAAAGCUGGCUCUACCACUAGCAGUUCCAUCAUCCACAAGCCCUGGGAAAUACAAAAUGUCAUCCCACGUUUACCAUCUUCAAAGCCUUGAAAUACAGCUUGACUAUCAGCACUGAGACAAAAAUUGGCCAGUGAUCUUUUUCUGCAUUGACUUUGGAUUCAUAGAUGUGCAGCUCCCAAUCUACCUCUGGGGCUUGAAAAACAUCCUGGAAUUGGGAGGAAGUGGAUGUCUAGUUCAUGGCCACCUUUGAUUCUACACUCUUACCUGCAGCCAUGCACCCCUCUUUGCUAAUCUUCAGCCACCAGGUCCAUCCACAUCUCUGCAAAUGACCCAAUUUCGUUCCAUUUUAUGUCCUCAACAGAAAGAUUCCACAAUGACAACUGGGAAGCUUACAUGAAGCAGAACUGAGUUCCUGUGGUUAGUUAUAUGCGAUAUCAGAAACAGAAUGCCAUGGAGAUAAAAACAUGAAUUAAGCACAGACCCUGCACUCAAUGAACUUCAGGUCUAAUGGGAGAUAUGGACAAGUGCAUAUUGUUUAUAUUCAUGGAAGUGAAGAAGGAGAAGGAGAAGAAGAAGAAGAAGAAAAAAGGAAGAGGAGGAGGAGAGUCUGGCAUCCAUCCUUCCAAAACAGUUACCCUUAUGUCUCCUGGCCUAUGAAAACCAGAUCUCAGGGUCUAAAGGAGUCUGAGAUCAUUUAGAUCCUCCCUACCAUCAGAUUGAUGCCAAUUCAGCCGCCUCAAACAGAUUAUUUUCAAAGAACCUACCUCUUAUUCUCAAAAACAAAAAAGAAAAAAUAAAAGCGAGCUCAGAGAACACAGGAAAAGUUCUGAUACUGAAGGGCCUGGCACCAUAGUUGAAGAUAAAAGAGUGACACAUCUGUGUGUUUGUGUUUGGCCAUCACUAACAAGGUAAGGCUCGGGAGAGAUGUGCCUAUCUUUCCAUGAAGCAGAGGGUCAGCAAACACAGAGAAAGAACUCAAGCCAGGAAACAUUUAAAAGGAUCCUACUAAAAGAUAAAAAAAGGGAGACCCCAGACUGUGAAAGAUAGUAUUGUUCAAGGUAUGUGGAAGCAGUCCCAGUAAAAGGAAAAAAAAAAUCAAGAAAUAAAGACACCGCAAGUAGAGAGGAAUAAUGUCUCACACAUAACUCAAAGGUCAUAUGGCUGUGCUACAUCUACUUGGAGAGGUGAAAGAGGAAGGAGAAGAAAUUAUUUGAAUUUGGACUAGUGCCCAUAGGCUGUCCUGCAGGGACAACUCUCCCCUGGAAGACUGGUCAAUGCUUUUUUGUGGAAGGCUGAUUUUCUAAAAAUUAAUUUCUUUAUCCUGGUCUUAU